This 92-nucleotide transfer RNA is filed under the name Cavia porcellus (domestic guinea pig). Lineage: Eukaryota; Metazoa; Chordata; Mammalia; Rodentia; Caviidae. The record is from Rfam by way of RNAcentral.
GCGGGUUUAGCUUAGCGGCAUAAGCGCCUGCCUUGAAAGCAGGCGCCUUGAAAGCAAGGCGAUCCCACGCCUUGAUAGCGUGGGAUCCUGCA